RNAcentral lists this ribosomal RNA (259 nucleotides) under uncultured bacterium. Its description in RNAcentral is "partial 16S ribosomal RNA". It matches the Rfam family "Bacterial small subunit ribosomal RNA", at positions 524 to 776 of the family's 1533-position model. The record is from RNAcentral.
UACGUAGGUGGCAAGCGUUGUCCGGAUUUAUUGGGUUUAAAGGGUGCGUAGGCGGUCUUAUAAGUCAGUGGUGAAAUACGGCAGCUCAACUGUCGAGGUGCCAUUGAUACUGUAGGACUUGAGUACAGACGAGGUAGGCGGAAUUGACGGUGUAGCGGUGAAAAUGCUUUAGAUAUCGUCAAGAAACACCGAUAGCGAAAGGCAGCUUACUAGGCUGUAACUGACGCUGAGGCACGAAAAGUGUGGGGGAUCAAAACAG